UGUAAGCGUAUACCAAAGUUGUUGCAGUUAAAACGCUCGUAGUCGGAAUUUGGCAGUUCCGGAUGUGUGCACGUCGUGUGCGCACUUCGCGGGGAUUGCUUUUGUGGUCUUGCGUAGGAUGAGGCACUUUUAUUAGUGAACGUCCUCACGCAACCACUUUUUACUGUGAGAAAAUCAGAGUGCUCAAAGCAGGCAUUUGCCGUGAAUGUAUUAGCAUGGAAUAAUAGAAUAGGACUUGGUUCUAUUUUGUUGGUUUGUUGGGACUGAGUAAUGAUUAAGAGGGACAGUUGGGGGCAUUUGUAUUUCGGUGCUAGAGGUGGAAUUCUUAGAUUACCGAAAGACAAACUGCUGCGAAAGCGUCCGCCAAGGAUGUUUUCAUUGA
RNAcentral lists this ribosomal RNA (382 nucleotides) under uncultured eukaryote. RNAcentral describes it as "partial 18S ribosomal RNA". It matches the Rfam family "Eukaryotic small subunit ribosomal RNA", at positions 592 to 976 of the family's 1831-position model. The record is from RNAcentral.